GACGAACGCUGGCGGCGUGCUUAACACAUGCAAGUCGAACGGUGAAGGGACCAGCUUGCUGGUUCUGGAUGAGUGGCGAACGGGUGAGUAACACGUGAGUAACCUGCCCCCUUCUUCUGGAUAACCGCAUGAAAGUGUGGCUAAUACGGGAUAUUCUGGGUCUGUCGCAUGGCGGGCCCGGGAAAGAUAUUGCUUCGGUGGGGGAUGGGCUCGCGGCCUAUCAGCUUGUUGGUGGGGUGAUGGCCUACCAAGGCGGUGACGGGUAGCCGGCCUGAGAGGGGGGACGGUCACACUGGGACUGAGACACGGCCCAGACUCCUACGGGAGGCAGCAGUGGGGAAUAUUGCACAAUGGGCGCAAGCCUGAUGCAGCGACGCCGCGUGAGGGAGGGAGGCCUUCGGGUUGUAAACCUCUUUCGCCAGUGAAGCAGGCCUGCUCCUUGUGGGUGGGUUGACGGUAGCUGGAUAAGAAGCGCCGGCUAACUACGUG
This 489-nucleotide ribosomal RNA is filed under the name uncultured bacterium. RNAcentral describes it as "partial 16S ribosomal RNA". It matches the Rfam family "Bacterial small subunit ribosomal RNA", at positions 28 to 507 of the family's 1533-position model. The record is from RNAcentral.